Molecule: ribosomal RNA, 253 nt
Filed under: uncultured bacterium
Lineage: Bacteria
Description: partial 16S ribosomal RNA
Rfam family: Bacterial small subunit ribosomal RNA
Source: RNAcentral
UACAGAGGGGGCAAGCGUUGUUCGGAAUUACUGGGCGUAAAGGGCGCGUAGGCGGCCCGCUAAGUCGAACGUGAAAUCCCCGAGCUCAACUCGGGAACUGCGUCCGAUACUGGCGGGCUUGAAUCCGGGAGAGGGAUGCGGAAUUCCAGGUGUAGCGGUGAAAUGCGUAGAUAUCGGGAGGAACAUCAGUGGCGAAGGCGGCUAUCUGGACCAACACUGACACUGAGGCACGAAAGCGUGGGUAGCAAACAGG